CAGUAGCCGCGGUAAUACGAAGGGUGCAAGCGUUAAUCGGAAUUACUGGGCGUAAAGCGUGCGUAGGCGGUUUGUUAAGUCUGUUGUGAAAUCCCCGGGCUCAACCUGGGAAUGGCAAUGGAUACUGGCAAGCUAGAGUGUGUCAGAGGAUGGUGGAAUUCCCGGUGUAGCGGUGAAAUGCGUAGAGAUCGGGAGGAACACCUGUGGCGAAAGCGGCUCACUGGACCAUUACUGACGCUGAGGCACGAAAGCUAGGGGAGCAAACAGGAUUAGAUACCCCCGUAGUCCCUGUCUCUUAUAC
RNAcentral lists this ribosomal RNA (301 nucleotides) under uncultured bacterium. Its description in RNAcentral is "partial 16S ribosomal RNA". It matches the Rfam family "Bacterial small subunit ribosomal RNA", at positions 509 to 807 of the family's 1533-position model. The record is from RNAcentral.